UUUCUCGUUUUCCCCACCGAAUCAACUAGGCACCCACACCUCCGAUCCAAAUCACCCCGUGCCAAUCCCCGUCGAGCCUCCCACAGUCACACCUCGUCCUCGAGCUCCACCUCCCGACCAGCCUCAUGCAGCCCCAACACUGGUGUUCCAUGGAGCCUCUCCCCAUCCUUCCCGACCAGACCGGCCCUCUCCCUGCUCCCUUCCUCCUCCUUCCUUCGGUUUCCUUCCCCG
This 231-nucleotide long non-coding RNA is filed under the name Hordeum vulgare. Its description in RNAcentral is "long non-coding RNA (HVUL_LNC018517)". Lineage: Eukaryota; Viridiplantae; Streptophyta; Magnoliopsida; Poales; Poaceae. The record is from RNAcentral.